This 76-nucleotide transfer RNA is filed under the name Candidatus Firestonebacteria bacterium RifOxyC12_full_39_7. Its description in RNAcentral is "tRNA-Thr". It matches the Rfam family "tRNA". From Rfam's summary of the family: Transfer RNA (tRNA) molecules are approximately 80 nucleotides in length. The record is from RNAcentral. Lineage: Bacteria; Candidatus Firestoneibacteriota. RNAcentral also lists the same sequence under 3 other names.
GCUGGCUUAGCUCAGUCGGUAGAGCAUCUCACUUGUAAUGAGAAGGUCAUCAGUUCGAUUCUGAUAGCCAGCUCCA